This is a long non-coding RNA of Pogoniulus pusillus (Red-fronted tinkerbird), 1795 nucleotides long. RefSeq lists it as uncharacterized. The record is from RefSeq and is a predicted model, not a curated record. Lineage: Eukaryota; Metazoa; Chordata; Aves; Piciformes; Lybiidae. The transcript is spliced from 2 exons.
GGAUCUCUCCAAAGCUGCUCUGAACUCCAAGACAAAACAGAUGUGCCAAUAGGUGCCCUGCGUCUGAUUAUAGUGCACCUAUCAAACGUGAUGAAUGCAACUGAGCAGAAAUUCACACACAGAAACAUCUUGCAUGAGAAUUAACUGUCAGUGAAAGAGACUGGCAACUAAACAGCAAGUGGCAUCUCAAUACAGCUUCAAAAUCCCCAAUGCAAUAGCAAAAUUGAAACAGUAGUCACGUCUAUGGGAGAUUCAAAAUCAGUUGGGGUCAUUCAAAUGAAACUGGAACAUGACAGUUGUAACCGCUGAGAAACAAAAUCAGAUGCAAACAAGAAUAGAAAGUACAAGGAUAUUAGUUAUCAUGAUUGUUAUUUACUAUUUGUAUUGUGCUAAUAGCUGAUAGAGUUGUGUCCUCGAAAGACAAUGAUUUCUUUACAUAUUUCUAAUCUGGAAGUCUCCCAAAAGCCCCCACUUACACUAAUCAUAAACUGACUUACUGCUAGAAGACUGCCAGAGGCUCAUACUUUUAGAUUGAAAGAAACAACAUGACCAUUUUCUAGGGCAGAGAGAAAAGAUACUGUCACAAAGUUAAAAGUCACAGAUGUUUGGACUGAGUGGAAGUGAUAGGAAAAGUUUCACUCAAAGUAAUGCAGUAUCUUCCUAUAACCGUACAGAGCUCAGUGGUUUGGGAACCAUUCAUACCUUUCUGAAACAGAUGCAAGGCAAUUCACAAGAACGUUUAUUUUCACAGGUGAGAACUUAGAAUUCAGCAAUUACAUUGAUUCUGGAGAUGGAAACAGCCAGUCUUUGGAGCCAGAAACGAAGAGUAGAGAACAAAAGAGGUUACUCAUCAGAACUGACUUGUGUUAGACAGAGACUGUUCCCAAAGGAGUGCUGCACUGGAUGCUAACAGUCUUCCUCUCUCCAAGCAAGCAGUUUCCCAUUGGUGAGGUCACAACAGGUGCCUCAAAACUUUUAAUAAGCACAGUAUGCACUAUCCUAUACAAAUGAAUUUUCCCUCUAAUUUUAGUCUACUGUUUCUACAAUUGAUGCACUACUGGAGCUGAAGGUGCAACUGAAUGGGAUGUAAAAAAGGUUUGCAAACACGAUUAAACAGCUGUCAAGCAAAGAAGGAUGCUAGAACUGAUACUGUACUAAGCUACAGCAGUGUGGUUUUAAUUAUACCAUUGUUUUAAUUUUUAAAGAUCAUUUAGCAAAAGACCAGUCAAAAAAAGAAUCACUAAGGAUUAGUUGCAGUGAACUUUUUCCAGGUAUGUUCAUUACAGCUUACCAGGUCUCUAAGCCAUUUCUGAAUCAGUUCCUUCUUUUAUCUUUAUUUAGCAUUUUGAGGACUAACAUUUCCAUGUUUGAUUUCCACUUAAGGUUCCAGUUGCUUGCUUCUUGCCCUCCUUCCAAAUUUGAGUAAUGAAGUAUUUCUCAACGAGGUAAUUAACAGAACAGCAAAACAGUUCUGCCCUAUUGAUUGUUCUGUUAAAACCUCAAAAUUCUGACCAGAGGUUUUCAGGAUAAAUUAUUUCACUAUGUAGUAUGAAUAAAUAAUCCUGUUGCAGAAAUCUAUGACUGGACAAGUGAAGCAAGAAGAGAUUAACCUGAAGCACUACUAAAGCGUAACAAAUUUUAAGCAGAACUUGUGGUUACAGGGCAAUAGUAGGAAACUGCCAAAUGCUAGGAAUAUGAGAAGCUGCAUUGCUCUGUAGGUUACUGUAUCUCUUUCCUCCCAGUUUCAUAGUAGUUGAAUUUCUCCAUUUGGUAAAUAAAAUUAAUAGCAUUUUCA